GAAAAAAGCCCAAUAAACCUUUUUUUUAAAACCUCUAAUUGGCUGUUAUUUAUAUCUUUUUUGAUUAUUAUUAUUUGAAUCCUUAGGGGAGGUUGAAGAUUUAUCCAGUACUUCUAUAUACCAUCCUGAAAAAUCACAUAUUGUCAUUCUCUAAAGAAAAUCUUUUAAAAUCAUUUAUAUUUAUUAGAAGAAAGAUCUGUCCUAAUUUAGAAUUUUCCUCAAAUCUGAGGGACUUUUACAAAGUGCUAAAAGACUUUCCUGGUUAAAAUUAGACAAAGCAUUGUCAUUUAAUAGAAUAUUUCAAUAAAUAUAUGGAAUAUCACUAUAUCAUCCUUUUUAUAAAUCAUUAAAAUAUUUAUUGUUUCAUCAAAUGGUUAAAUGGACCACUGGUUUCUUAGUGAAAUGUUCUUAGGCUUAAUUCAUUCAACUGUCAAGUACAUAGUCUUAAUUAAUAUACUCAGGUUUGAACAGAUUAUUCUGGACAUUUAAAUUUAAUCCAUUCUUAAUACUUUAAAACUUUUGUGUUAAGAAAAACUGCCAGUUUGUGCUUUUGAAAAGUCUGUUUUGACAUCAUAGUCUACUAGUACAAUUUGGACAGUGCGUAUGUACUGUUACUAAAAGCUUUAUAUGCAAUUAUUAAUGUGAAUUUUUUGUUUUUAUUCAAGGAAGGAUUUCCUAGAAACAUUUCAAGGGAUGAUCACUGGAAGGGCAUGUAACUUCACACAGUUAUCAUUCGAUUAGGAAAUGGAGAAUGUUUCAUCUAAAGUACUCUUCAGUGUGUUCACUGGUAUAAGUUUCACUGGUGAAGAAUUUAUGUAG
This 819-nucleotide long non-coding RNA is filed under the name Bos taurus (domestic cattle). Its description in RNAcentral is "long non-coding RNA NONBTAT023059". The record is from RNAcentral. Lineage: Eukaryota; Metazoa; Chordata; Mammalia; Artiodactyla; Bovidae.